Molecule: small nuclear RNA, 129 nt
Filed under: Zalophus californianus (California sea lion)
Lineage: Eukaryota; Metazoa; Chordata; Mammalia; Carnivora; Otariidae
Description: U4 spliceosomal RNA (ENSZCAG00015000827.1)
Rfam family: U4 spliceosomal RNA
About the family: U4 small nuclear RNA (U4 snRNA) is a component of the major U2-dependent spliceosome. The structure of U4 snRNA from yeast and human has been reported.
Source: RNAcentral
AGCUUUGCGCAGUGGCAAUAUUGUAGCCAAUAAGGUUUAUCCGAGGCACGAUUAUUGCUAAUUGAAAACUUUUCCUGAUGGUGUUCAUUCUGACUGGUUGAAGCUUUUUUUUUUUCUGAUUGUAUAAAG